This 679-nucleotide ribosomal RNA is filed under the name Suillus brevipes. RNAcentral's name for it is "eukaryotic LSU rRNA". Lineage: Eukaryota; Fungi; Basidiomycota; Agaricomycetes; Boletales; Suillaceae. The record is from RNAcentral.
UCGUAGGUGAACCUGCGGAAGGAUCAUUAAUGAAAUUAUAAUCCGGCGAGGGAAAGGCGGAGAGUUGUAGCUGGCCCRAGGGCAUGUGCACGCUCUCUUCUGGACUUUCGCCGUAUGGGCGCGGGGCGACCCGCGUCUUCAUAUACCUCUUCGUGUAGAAAGUCUUUGAAUGUUAURARCAUCAUCGAGUCGCGACUUCUAGGAGACGCGAUUCUUUGAGACAAAAGUUAUUACAACUUUCAGCAACGGAUCUCUUGGCUCUCGCAUCGAUGAAGAACGCAGCGAAUCGCGAUAUGUAAUGUGAAUUGCAGAUCUACAGUGAAUCAUCGAAUCUUUGAACGCACCUUGCGCUCCUCGGUGUUCCGAGGAGCAUGCCUGUUUGAGUGUCAGUAAAUUCUCAACCCCUCUCGAUUUGCUUCGAAAGGGUGCUUGGAUGUUGGGGGCUGCCGGAGACACUGGAYUCGUCCAGGACUCGGGCUCCUCUUAAAUGAAUCGGCUUGCGGUCGACUUUCGACUUUGCAUGACAAGGCCUUUGGCGUGAUAAUGAUCGCCGUUCGCCGAAGUGCAAGACAGAACGGUCCCGUGCCUCUAAUGCGUCGACGCCUCUCGGGGCCGUCUUCCUCAUUGACGUUUGACCUCAAAUCAGGUAGGACUACCCGCUGAACUUAAGCAUAUCAUA